GACGAGAAGCUUGCUUCUCUGAUGUUAGCGGCGGACGGGUGAGUAACACGUGGAUAACCUACCUAUAAGACUGGGAUAACUUCGGGAAACCGGAGCUAAUACCGGAUAAUAUUUUGAACCGCAUGGUUCAAAAGUGAAAGACGGUCUUGCUGUCACUUAUAGAUGGAUCCGCGCUGCAUUAGCUAGUUGGUAAGGUAACGGCUUACCAAGGCAACGAUGCAUAGCCGACCUGAGAGGGUGAUCGGCCACACUGGAACUGAGACACGGUCCAGACUCCUACGGGAGGCAGCAGUAGGGAAUCUUCCGCAAUGGGCGAAAGCCUGACGGAGCAACGCCGCGUGAGUGAUGAAGGUCUUCGGAUCGUAAAACUCUGUUAUUAGGGAAGAACAUAUGUGUAAGUAACUGUGCACAUCUUGACGGUACCUAAUCAGAAAGCCACGGCUAACUACGUGCCAGCAGCCGCGGUAAUACGUAGGUGGCAAGCGUUAUCCGGAAUUAUUGGGCGUAAAGCGCGCGUAGGCGGUUUUUUAAGUCUGAUGUGAAAGCCCACGGCUCAACCGUGGAGGGUCAUUGGAAACUGGAAAACUUGAGUGCAGAAGAGGAAAGUGGAAUUCCAUGUGUAGCGGUGAAAUGCGCAGAGAUAUGGAGGAACACCAGUGGCGAAGGCGACUUUCUGGUCUGUAACUGACGCUGAUGUGCGAAAGCGUGGGGAUCAAACAGGAUUAGAUACCCUGGUAGUCCACGCCGUAAACGAUGAGUGCUAAGUGUUAGGGGGUUUCCGCCCCUUAGUGCUGCAGCUAACGCAUUAAGCACUCCGCCUGGGGAGUACGACCGCAAGUG
This 840-nucleotide ribosomal RNA is filed under the name uncultured Staphylococcus sp. Its description in RNAcentral is "bacterial SSU rRNA". It matches the Rfam family "Bacterial small subunit ribosomal RNA", at positions 69 to 894 of the family's 1533-position model. The record is from RNAcentral. Lineage: Bacteria; Bacillati; Bacillota; Bacilli; Caryophanales; Staphylococcaceae.